GCAUUAAUGGGGUAGUGGUAACCUGGGUCGUUGCCAUGGGUUAUUGGCAUUGAAGUCUCGACCCGCCGGGGGUUCAAUUCCCCCUUAAUGCA
This is a non-coding RNA of Mycena galopus ATCC 62051, 92 nucleotides long. Lineage: Eukaryota; Fungi; Basidiomycota; Agaricomycetes; Agaricales; Mycenaceae. The record is from the annotation of a GenBank genome assembly.